CUAAGCGGGAAGCCCCUCCCAAGAUUAGAUCUCCCUGGGAUCUUGAAUCCCCUUAAGGGCCCUAGAAGACUACUAGGUUGAUAGGCAUGGUGUGGAAGUGCAGUAAUGCAUGAAGCUGACCAGUACUAAUUGACCGUGNNACGAGAGGACCGGAGUGAACGAACCACUGGUGUUCCGGUUGUGAUGCCAAUUGCAUUGCCGGGUAGCUAUGUUCGGACAGGAUAACCGCUGAAAGCAUCUAAGCGGGAAGCCCCUCCCAAGAUGAGAUCUCCCUGGGACCUUGAGUCCCCUGAAGGGCCCUAGAAGACCACUAGGUUGAUAGGCUGGGUGUGGAAGUUCAGUAAUGAAUGAAGCUAACCAGUACUAAUUGCCCGUGCGGCUUGACCAUAUAACACCCAA
This 399-nucleotide ribosomal RNA is filed under the name Methylococcaceae bacterium. RNAcentral describes it as "bacterial LSU rRNA". It matches the Rfam family "Bacterial large subunit ribosomal RNA", at positions 2429 to 2925 of the family's 2925-position model. The record is from RNAcentral. Lineage: Bacteria; Pseudomonadati; Pseudomonadota; Gammaproteobacteria; Methylococcales; Methylococcaceae.